RNAcentral lists this ribosomal RNA (253 nucleotides) under uncultured bacterium. Its description in RNAcentral is "partial 16S ribosomal RNA". It matches the Rfam family "Bacterial small subunit ribosomal RNA", at positions 524 to 776 of the family's 1533-position model. The record is from RNAcentral.
CACGUAGGGCGCAAGCGUUGUCCGGAAUUAUUGGGCGUAAAGAGCUCGUAGGCGGUCUGUUGCGUCCGCUGUGAAAACUCGGGGCUUAACCCCGAGCCUGCAGUGGAUACGGGCAGACUAGAGGUAGGUAGGGGAGAAUGGAAUUCCCGGUGUAGCGGUGAAAUGCGCAGAUAUCGGGAGGAACACCGGUGGCGAAGGCGGUUCUCUGGGCCUGUACUGACGCUGAGACGCGAAAGCGUGGGGAGCGAACAGG